Molecule: transfer RNA, 72 nt
Filed under: Danio rerio (zebrafish)
Lineage: Eukaryota; Metazoa; Chordata; Actinopteri; Cypriniformes; Danionidae
Rfam family: tRNA
About the family: Transfer RNA (tRNA) molecules are approximately 80 nucleotides in length. Their secondary structure includes four short double-helical elements and three loops (D, anti-codon, and T loops).
Source: Rfam by way of RNAcentral
GGUUUCAUGGUGUAAUGGUUGGCACUCUGGACUCUGAAUGCAGUGAUCUGAGUUCAAAUCUUGGUGGGACCU